CUUGACAUCCAGCGAACUUGGCAGAGAUGCCUUGGUGCCUUCGGGAACGCUGAGACAGGUGCUGCAUGGCUGUCGUCAGCUCGUGUUGUGAAAUGUUGGGUUAAGUCCGCAACGAGCGCAACCCUUAUCCUUUGUUGCCAGCGAUUCGGUCGGGAACUCAAAGGAGACUGCCGGUGAUAAACCGGAGGAAGGUGGGGAUGACGUCAAGUCAUCAUGGCCCUUACGAGUAGGGCUACACACGUGCUACAAUGGCGCAUACAAAGAGAAGCGACCUCGCGAGAGCAAGCGGACCUCAUAAAGUGCGUCGUAGUCCGGAUCGGAGUCUGCAACUCGACUCCGUGAAGUCGGAAUCGCUAGUAAUCGUGGAUCAGAAUGCCACGGUGAAUACGUUCCCGGGCCUUGUACACACCGCCCGUCACACCAUGGGAGUGGGUUGCAAAAGAAGUAGGUAGCUUAACCCUCGGGAGGGCGCUUACCACUUUGUGAUUCAUGACUGGGGUGAAGUCGUAACAAGGUAGGCGUACGUGU
This 528-nucleotide ribosomal RNA is filed under the name uncultured bacterium. RNAcentral describes it as "bacterial SSU rRNA". It matches the Rfam family "Bacterial small subunit ribosomal RNA", at positions 980 to 1509 of the family's 1533-position model. The record is from RNAcentral.